Molecule: long non-coding RNA, 246 nt
Filed under: Penaeus monodon (black tiger shrimp)
Lineage: Eukaryota; Metazoa; Arthropoda; Malacostraca; Decapoda; Penaeidae
Description: uncharacterized LOC119576573
Source: RNAcentral
CUUAGCUCCAAGCUCCGUGCCCAUACACACCUUUUUCUCCACUUUUUCUUAUGAAAGAGAUACUCCAUUUAACCAGAAAACGCCUUUUUCAAGACGAAUUGGCAAAGGGUCUGUGAAUCUAGAGAUCUCGCAGCAAACAAGUUGUCCCGGAAGAGACCGCCGUGCCAGCCCAAGUCUCGUUCCUUACGGAUGCAUAUACUAUUGUUUUACCCUGUAUAAAUUGUAAAUAUAUAUUGGUGAAAUGUU